This is a non-coding RNA of Oryctolagus cuniculus (rabbit), 327 nucleotides long. The record is from RefSeq and is a predicted model, not a curated record. Lineage: Eukaryota; Metazoa; Chordata; Mammalia; Lagomorpha; Leporidae.
CAGAGGUCAGGGUGACCAACCCAGGAAGGCUUCAUGGAAGAACAGCUUGGCUCCGGGUCUUGAAGGAAGAGGAAGCAGGGCACUCACGCUACACCCCAAAUGACGGAGACCUAUCCUAAGAAGCCCAUCCUUGAACACACCACACACAUGUUAGAUCUGAGCUUCUAACUAAACAAGUGACUCCAAUACUGACACCACCUUUUUAUCAGCUCCAUAUAGAGAUGCACACUGACCUUGGAAGCCAUAACGUGACGAAGUGUGGGCCAAAUGUUCAAAGCUGUCUGAGGCCCUGGACAGCCCCUGGGAAAAGAGCCACCCAGCACUCAG